UACGUAGGAGACGAGCGUUGUCCGGAAUUACUGGGCGUAAAGCGCGUGUAGGCGGAUGAGCAAGUUUGCUGUGAAAGCUCCUGGCUUAACCGGGAGUGGUCGGUGGAAACUGCUCGUCUGGAGGACGGUAGAGGUAGGUAGAAUUCCCGGUGUAGUGGUGAAAUGCGUAGAGAUCGGGAGGAAUACCUGUGGCGAAGGCGGCCUACUGGGCCGGACCUGACGCUGAGACGCGAAGGCGUGGGGAGCGAACGGG
Molecule: ribosomal RNA, 253 nt
Filed under: uncultured bacterium
Lineage: Bacteria
Description: partial 16S ribosomal RNA
Rfam family: Bacterial small subunit ribosomal RNA
Source: RNAcentral